This 776-nucleotide ribosomal RNA is filed under the name uncultured Neocallimastigales. RNAcentral describes it as "partial large subunit ribosomal RNA". It matches the Rfam family "Eukaryotic large subunit ribosomal RNA", at positions 24 to 642 of the family's 3401-position model. Lineage: Eukaryota; Fungi; Neocallimastigomycota; Neocallimastigomycetes; Neocallimastigales. The record is from RNAcentral.
UACGACUACAUAUCAGGCAUAUCAAUAAGCGGAGGAAAAGAAACUAACAAGGAUUCCCUUAGUAACGGCGAGUGAAGCGGGAAGAGCUCAAAUUUGAAAUCUUCAAGGUUUUACCUUGACGAAUUGUAGUUUAAAGAAGUGUUUUCUGUUGAAGUUUUGGUAAAAGUUCUUUGGAAUAGGACAUCAUAGAGGGUGAGAAUCCCGUAUUUGACCAUUAUUUUCAGCUGUGUGGUACACUUUCAAAGAGUCGGAUUGUUUGGGAAUGCAGUCCAAAAUGGGUGGUAAAUUUCAUCUAAAGCUAAAUAUUGGCGAGAGACCGAUAGCGAACAAGUACCGUGAGGGAAAGAUGAAAAGAACUUUGAAAAGAGAGUUAAACAGUACGUGAAAUUGUCAAAAGGGAAGCGUUUGACACCAGUGUUGUUUCUACGAAAAUCAAUUUAUGAUGGCUUGAUGCUAAGCUUUAAGACUUUAUCCGCUUGUUGUUUAGUUUUCCUGUCUUUGUGAAUGCACUUUUCGUGGAACAAGUCAACAUCAAUUUCUUUUGCUGUAAAAGGGUAAGAGGAAGGUGGCUUCGGCUUCGGUUCGAAGUGUUUAUAGCCUUUUAUCUCUGCAGUCGGAGAGAUUGAGGUCUGCAGCGUAGACUCUUCGGGGUUAGAUACGUCGGUGCUAAGCUACUAGCUUUUCAUAGACAACUUGUUGACUAUGUUUAGUCAUUGUGACUUACCCGCUUAGGCUAUUUUACCUACGCUUAGGAUGUUGAGCGCAUGUCUCUCUCU